GGCGAGACGUGACUUUGUUCCUCCUUUGCCUUCUGCGAUGAUGGUGAGGCCUCCCCAGCCACGUGGAACUGACCGGAGGAGCCCUGGGGGCCAGGGAGACCACGGUCGCCCUUCUCACCCUGUUCACCCGGAGGACCGAUGAGCCCGAUCAGGCCUGGAUGACCCUGUGGGAAAAUGAAGACAGGAAGGGGCAUUUGAGGGAGCCACGCCUCAUGCUCGGCCACGGUGGGCCAGUUAGCACGCAGCACAGCCAUGGCACAGGAAGCUUUACAUCAUGGUCAGCCUCCCCUGGAAGGGGAACAGGCUCAACAGAGGGGCCAGGUGACGAAACGGCAGGUCCGAGGUGGCCCUUCGCUGGCCACAGUCACGUCUAAAAACAGACAGGGAGCCACAGACACUGAGACAGACCAAAGUGAUAAAGGGGUUUUCCUGAGUGGUAAUGUUUAUCUCUGUCUUUCUCUUCGUAUACGCUCUCCAAUUUCCUAUGGCAAAUCCGAACGCCUGCUCCUAUACGGAACUAAAACAAAGUUUGUGGACUGACACGGAAAGAAAGAUGCAGAGUAUUAUAGAUAUUACAAUCAUGGGUUGUUUUUCUAAAAAAAGAAGAAUCCAUGACACUCGCUGUCUAUGUUUGUCUUCUAGGAACCCAGGGCAAGCCUCGCAAGGCAGCCCCAGCUCUCAUUUGCCUUGGGGCUGGGGGCAGUGGUGGCGGACGUCAGAGUGGAAAUGAGAGGGCCCUCACUGCCUUCUGCUUCAUAUACAACCAUCUCACUCCUGAGUACCUUUUAUGUUUGUAAAUAAAUCAAUGCAAGUGGAAAACAAUUCCCAGCAGUUAGAAAAAUAAAAGGGCUUUGCUCCCACUGCA
This 865-nucleotide long non-coding RNA is filed under the name Homo sapiens (human). RNAcentral describes it as "non-protein coding lnc-FCN1-1:1". Lineage: Eukaryota; Metazoa; Chordata; Mammalia; Primates; Hominidae. The record is from RNAcentral.